This 301-nucleotide ribosomal RNA is filed under the name uncultured bacterium. Its description in RNAcentral is "partial 16S ribosomal RNA". It matches the Rfam family "Archaeal small subunit ribosomal RNA", at positions 459 to 760 of the family's 1478-position model. The record is from RNAcentral.
CAGCCGCCGCGGGAAAACCAGCACCUCGAGUGGUCAGGAGGUUUAUUGGGCCUAAAGCAUCCGUAGCCGGUUGCAUAAGUUUUCGGUUAAAUCUAUGCGCUUAACGUAUAGGCCGCCGAAAAUACUGUGCAGCUAGGGAGUGGGAGAGGUACACGGUACUCGAUAGGAAGGGGUAAAAUCCUUUGAUCUAUUGAUGACCACCUGUGGCGAAGGCGGUGUACCAGAACACGUUCGACGGUGAGGGAUGAAAGCUGGGGGAGCAAACCGGAUUAGAUACCCCUGUAGUCCCUGUCUCUUAUAC